GGUGAGUGGUGCAGGUGUCGCUCAUUAUCAAUUACUCCACCGGCCUCGCUCCGUUCCCACAACUCUCGGCCCCGUCCCCACUCGUCACAACAAUAGUAAGUAAGUUUUUGAAUGUUAA
This is a long non-coding RNA of Sinocyclocheilus grahami, 118 nucleotides long. RefSeq lists it as uncharacterized. NCBI's taxonomy places the organism in Eukaryota, Metazoa, Chordata, Actinopteri, Cypriniformes, Cyprinidae. The transcript is spliced from 3 exons. The record is from RefSeq and is a predicted model, not a curated record.